CCUACGGGAGGCAGCAGUGGGGAAUUUUGGACAAUGGGCGCAAGCCUGAUCCAGCAAUGCCGCGUGAGUGAAGAAGGCCUUCGGGUUGUAAAGCUCUUUUGUCAGGGAAGAAACGGUGGGGGCUAAUAUCUCCUGCUAAUGACGGUACCUGAAGAAUAAGCACCGGCUAACUACGUGCCAGCAGCCGCGGUAAUACGUAGGGUGCAAGCGUUAAUCGGAAUUACUGGGCGUAAAGCGUGCGCAGGCGGUUUUGUAAGUUUGUCGUGAAAUCCCCGGGCUCAACCUGGGAAUGGCGAUGAAGACUGCAAGGCUAGAAUCUGGCAGAGGGGGGUAGAAUUCCACGUGUAGCAGUGAAAUGCGUAGAGAUGUGGAGGAACACCGAUGGCGAAGGCAGCCCCCUGGGUCAAGAUUGACGCUCAUGCACGAAAGCGUGGGGAGCAAACAGGAUUAGAUACCCUGGUAGUCCACGCCCUAAACGAUGUCUACUAGUUGUCGGGUUUUAAUUAACUUGGUAACGCAGCUAACGCGUGAAGUAGACCGCCUGGGGAGUACGGUCGCAAGAUUAAAACUCAAAUGAAUUGACGG
This 585-nucleotide ribosomal RNA is filed under the name uncultured bacterium. RNAcentral's name for it is "bacterial SSU rRNA". It matches the Rfam family "Bacterial small subunit ribosomal RNA", at positions 338 to 916 of the family's 1533-position model. The record is from RNAcentral.